RNAcentral lists this ribosomal RNA (255 nucleotides) under uncultured bacterium. Its description in RNAcentral is "partial 16S ribosomal RNA". It matches the Rfam family "Bacterial small subunit ribosomal RNA", at positions 147 to 402 of the family's 1533-position model. The record is from RNAcentral.
CAUACCGAAAGGUAUGCUAAUACGAGAUAAUAUGCUUUUAUCGCAUGGUAGAAGUAUCAAAGCUCCGGCGGUACAGGAUGGACCCGCGUCUGAUUAGCUAGUUGGUGAGGUAACGGCUCACCAAGGCGACGAUCAGUAGCCGACCUGAGAGGGUGAUCGGCCACAUUGGAACUGAGACACGGUCCAAACUCCUACGGGAGGCAGCAGUGGGGAAUAUUACAAGGUGGGCGAAAGCCUGAUGCAGCAACGCCGCGU